AGAGAGAGAGAGAUAUGGUAUAACUAAUGGAAUUUAUUGUAGGUAUGAUGUGGUUUUGUGGAGUUGAUAAUAUUGAUAUGAAUUUAAAGAAAAGGUUAGUGGUUGUUGUAUGGGAGUUAAGUUUGGUUAUGCUACCAUGUAUUAUUCAUAACAAAAGACAAGGUUGUGGUGACAUUAUGAUUUAGAGGUUUGUUACAUGGUGUACCGGUUU
RNAcentral lists this long non-coding RNA (211 nucleotides) under Lathyrus oleraceus (garden pea). Its description in RNAcentral is "Pisum sativum (pea) long non-coding RNA (PSAT_LNC024057)". Lineage: Eukaryota; Viridiplantae; Streptophyta; Magnoliopsida; Fabales; Fabaceae. The record is from RNAcentral.